UGUGUGACGAAUAUGACGGUAGCACAUGAAUAAGGAUCGGCUAACUCCGUGCCAGCAGCCGCGGUCAUACGGAGGAUCCAAGCGUUAUCCGGAAUUACUGGGCGUAAAGAGUUGCGUAGGUGGCAUAGUAAGUAGAUAGUGAAAGCGUUCGGCUCAACCGGAUACACAUUAUCUAAACUGCUAAGCUUGAGGAUGAGAGAGGUUAUUGGAAUUCCCUGUGUAGGAGUGAAAUCCGUAGAUAUAGG
RNAcentral lists this ribosomal RNA (245 nucleotides) under uncultured Candidatus Saccharibacteria bacterium. Its description in RNAcentral is "partial 16S ribosomal RNA". It matches the Rfam family "Bacterial small subunit ribosomal RNA", at positions 439 to 700 of the family's 1533-position model. The record is from RNAcentral. Lineage: Bacteria; Candidatus Saccharimonadota.